CCCUUAGAUGUUCUGGGCUGCACGCGCGCUACACUGAUGCGCUCAACGAGUUUAUAACCUUGUCCGGCAGGAUUGGGUAAUCUUUUUAAAACGCAUCGUGAUGGGGAUAGAUUAUUGCAAUUAUUAAUCUUCAACGAGGAAUUCCUAGUAGUCACUGUUCAUCAGACAGUGACGACUAUGUCCCUGCCCUUUGUACACACCGCCCGUCGCUCCUACCGAUUGGGUGAUCCGGUGAAUGAUUCGGACUGACGUUGUACUAGCUACUAGUUCAAUGUUAGGAAGUUUUGUGAACCUAAUCACUUGGAGGAAGGAGAAGUCGUAACA
This 324-nucleotide ribosomal RNA is filed under the name uncultured eukaryote. RNAcentral's name for it is "partial 18S ribosomal RNA". It matches the Rfam family "Eukaryotic small subunit ribosomal RNA", at positions 1470 to 1796 of the family's 1831-position model. The record is from RNAcentral.